RNAcentral lists this transfer RNA (73 nucleotides) under Vicugna pacos (alpaca). RNAcentral describes it as "tRNA-Val (AAC) (tRNA-Val-AAC-6-1)". It matches the Rfam family "tRNA". Rfam says of the family: Transfer RNA (tRNA) molecules are approximately 80 nucleotides in length. Their secondary structure includes four short double-helical elements and three loops (D, anti-codon, and T loops). The record is from RNAcentral. Lineage: Eukaryota; Metazoa; Chordata; Mammalia; Artiodactyla; Camelidae.
GGAGGGUAUAGCUCAGUGGUAGAGUGUGUGCCUAACAAGCACAAGGUCCUGGGUUCAAUCCCCAGUAUCUCCA